This 329-nucleotide unclassified non-coding RNA is filed under the name soil metagenome. RNAcentral describes it as "partial contains 5.8S ribosomal RNA, internal transcribed spacer 2, and large subunit ribosomal RNA". The stretch from base 1 to 120 matches the Rfam family "5.8S ribosomal RNA", at positions 35 to 154 of the family's 154-position model. The record is from RNAcentral.
GAUGAAGAACGUAGUGAAAUGCGAUAAGUAAUGUGAAUUGCAGAAUUCAGUGAAUCAUCGAAUCUUUGAACGCACAUUGCGCCCUCUGGUAUUCCGGGGGGCAUGCCUGUUCGAGCGUCAUUAUAACCACUCAAGCUCUCGCUUGGUAUUGGGGUUCGCGGUUCCGCGGCCCCUAAAAUCAGUGGCGGUGCCUGUCGGCUCUACGCGUAGUAAUACUCCUCGCGAUUGAGUCCGGCAGGUCUACUUGCCAGCAACCCCCAAUUUUUACAGGUUGACCUCGGAUCAGGUAGGGAUACCCGCUGAACUUAAGCAUAUCAAUAAGCGGAGGA